Mercurialis annua (annual mercury) is the source of this 2646-nucleotide RNA transcript. RefSeq lists it as uncharacterized. The record is from RefSeq and is a predicted model, not a curated record. The transcript is spliced from 3 exons. Lineage: Eukaryota; Viridiplantae; Streptophyta; Magnoliopsida; Malpighiales; Euphorbiaceae.
GGACAUGACUACAUUAGCAAAGCUCAUGAGGCCCAUCCCUAACCAGGCUCAGCCUGGCCUGCUAAAUGAUCCAUCAAAUCUAGUAGCCCAGAGAUAGAAUUUAAACCAACUAGCAUCAGUUGUUUUGGCAUUCUCCGGCAGCUGCUUCCGAUUCUGAAUCUGUCGCCGGCGACACUUGAAAUAUAAGCAAUGUUGAAACGUGGUAGCAAAUCAAGGGCUUGGCUUGGAUUUCAAAACUAUUGGGUGCCUGUUUCAAUCACUUGUCUGGUUCUGGUUGUUUUAUGUUUAGUAGCGAAUUUUGGCAAUGAUGGCAAAAGGACCUACUCUUCUGUAGGAUUGUCAUCGCAGGAACUGAAUGCUUUUGAGCCUGAGGAGUUUCACCCAACUGUAGAGUUUAGAAAUGGUACCGAUGUGAUAUGGCAAAUACCCGAUUCACCAAAAGCAGUCCUCUUUCUGGCUCACGGAUGUAAUGGAAGAGCUGUCAACUUUUGGGAAAGAUCUCCUGGAUGUGCUAAUUGCAUUGGUUUGCCCGAGGAAAGGCUUCUUGUGCUUCACGCGCUUGCUAAGAAAUUUGCAGUUCUGACAAUAUCAAGUGCAGGUAGAUGCUGGACUUUUAGAGAAGAAUUGUUGAUUGUUAAAAAUAUUAUAAAAACGUGGGUAAGGAGGAAUGAGCUUGAAAAGCUACCGCUUGUUGCUUUGGGGGCUUCUUCUGGUGGAUACUUUGUCUCUGCACUUGCCACCACCAGUUUAAGAUUUAGCAGCAUUACCAUUAUGAUUGCUGAAGGAAUAUUUGAUCGAAUUGAUAUCACAGAUAACUAUCCGCCAACACUUUUUGUGCAUAUGCCUAAAGAUUUAUCUAGACAACAAAAGAUAAGCGAAGCAGUUGAAAUUCUAAAGAAUAAAGGCAUUGAUGUUGCGGAGGUUGAGUGCAUUGAGUUCCCUUUAUCACCAAGUCUUUUAGCUGAUAGAAUUCCCAGACUUGAUCAUACUGUUUCUGCGAGGUUGUUUAAGCUGUUUCAGGAUAAGGGCUUUAUUGACAGGAAUGGAUAUAUGAAGAAAGACGGGCGAGCUACAAACUGGAAAGCAGCUCUACGUGAUACUAAGGAUCUUUUAUUAGAUGAAAAUUUGGUCCAACAUGUUCAGGAGGAACUAAAUCUUGCAUUUGCAUACCAUGAAAUGACUAGCUUGCAAUCUCAGCAAAUCUUUAAAUGGUUUGAAUCUCAUAUGGAGUAGUCACAAGUCAGGACAUUAUAAAAGACAUGUUUCCUUCCUCGAGAUUGAAAGAGUAAAUUUCCAACUGAAGUUUGUACUUUGUAUGGAAAAGAAGAGAAGAUUUUCCAGCUCAAGUAAGACGAAGCCUAAAAGCUGAAGAAUGGGUUGCCUUUAGAAUCACCCUGAUUCAGCAUCAAACUCCAUUAUCUUUUACCAUGUUCCAAAAAAAGGAAAAAGAGGAAGUAAGCAUUUGAAUCCCUUACAAGCUGCAAAGCCUGCAAUAGCAGAACUUGACUUUUGCAUAAUUUCUAGAGGGAAAUUACUGAUUACGAGAUGUAACCAGGAUAUAUGCUGGCCACUGAUUUGUGGUGGAGCUGUAAGUGAACUACUGAGCUUGGUACUCUCUGUUCUCCAAAUAAAAAAAGAGCGACUCAUUUCAUCAGUGUUGGUUCCUUUGCUAACUUAUCGGUAUCGGAGCCACAAUUUUGAGUUUAAGGUAAUAUCUAUCACCUUUUCAUCUUGAAAUUAAGGAGAAAACAUGCAUUUAAAGAACAUCUGAUAAUUUUCCUUUACUUGCACGUUACUCAUUUUAUAUCUAUGCAAGCCUACAACGCGAGCAUAUGCACCUUAUAAUAACAGAACCUAAUGUAACAGUUUUAUUAUUUUAGGAUCAUUAGAUGCUAGAUUAAGUUCAUUAGCCAGAUAAUAAUUAGCACUGAUGAUCCAGUAAUUCGGGUCGGCUACAUGAAUUCUCUUUCUCCAUUCAAUAUGAUUUUGGGCGACCCUUAUAGAAAGACCAAGAGCUGCUAGAUCAUUGUGUCCCACUUUUCUUAAAGUUUGCUUAGGUCUUCCUCUCCCUAUCUUCAGUCCAUCGAUUUAAUAUCUUCAACCUAAUAACGAUCAUUAUUUUUUUUCCUUCGUAAAAGUAAUUUAAUUAGCUAAAUUAUUAUUGGUGUUUCAUACUUACAGGUAAAAUCAAGUAAUGCUAUCAUCUAAAAUGCUAAAAUACUAUAAGAAAAUCUUAUAAACUUUUGUAAUACCACUUUUAAAAACUGUGUAUAUAUAAUACAUGCAUUAAAUUUAAAAUAGUUUAAUGGGGCUCUAACUCCCGGUUAUUCCCUAUUCUCUCCGCCCCUGCCACUAGUCUUUGCUUUCAUUUUUUUACCAAAUGACAGCUGUUCUUUUCCACUCCCACUCUUAUUAUGUGGGUUGGUAUGGUUGUAUAUUUCUAUUAAUUGUGAUGCUGACCCUAUCCUUGUAUCUUUGUGUUUAUUGUAUAAGUUGAACUUUUGUUCAAAACAGGACUAUUAGUUAAUGACUUUAAAGAGUUUCAGUUUUCUUUCUGAUAUGACAUUAAAGUUUGUAAAUAAGGGAAUUUAAGUGCGUAGCAACCAAAGACUAUGCUUAUUGAAUGUGCUUUAUAUCUUUUCCCUC